CCUACGGGCGGCAGCAGUGGGGGAUAUUGCACAAUGGGGGAAACCCUGAUGCAGCGACGCCGCGUGGGUGAAGAAGCGCCUAGGCGCGUAAAGCCCUGUCAGCAGGGAAGUAAAUGACGGUACCUGAAGAAGAAGCCCCGGCUAACUACGUGCCAGCAGCCGCGGUAAUACGUAGGGGGCAAGCGUUAUCCGGAUGUACUGGGUGUAAAGGGGGCGCAGACGGCGAUGCAAGCCAGGAGUGAAAGCCCGGGGCCCAACCCCGGGACUGCACUUGGAACUGCGUGGCUAGAGUGCAGGGGGGGCAGGCGGAAUUCGUGGUGUAGCGGUGAAAUGCGUAGAUAUCAGGAGGAACACCGGUGGCGAAGGCGGCCUGCUGGACUGCAACUGACGUUGAGGCCCGAAAGCGUGGGGAGCAAACAGGAUUAGAUACCCGAGUAGUC
This 440-nucleotide ribosomal RNA is filed under the name uncultured bacterium. RNAcentral's name for it is "partial 16S ribosomal RNA". It matches the Rfam family "Bacterial small subunit ribosomal RNA", at positions 338 to 795 of the family's 1533-position model. The record is from RNAcentral.